This 222-nucleotide long non-coding RNA is filed under the name Gossypium raimondii (Peruvian cotton). RNAcentral's name for it is "long non-coding RNA (GRAI_LNC002970)". The record is from RNAcentral. Lineage: Eukaryota; Viridiplantae; Streptophyta; Magnoliopsida; Malvales; Malvaceae.
ACCUUUUUCAAAAACAAUUGAUAGAUGUAAAAAUGAAAGAAGAAAAAAAAACUGUGAAAGAAGAAAAAGGAAACUUGAAAUCACCUUUUUGGUGUUUUUGUAUUCUGAUUGCGUAAAAAGUAAGUGUUAUAGCCUAUUCUUGGUCUUUUAUAGUCUCUAUUUACAAAAAAUAAAAUGAAAAAAAAUCAAAGCAAAUCACCCCCAUUCUGUCCCUUUUCAUUU